This 763-nucleotide ribosomal RNA is filed under the name uncultured bacterium. RNAcentral's name for it is "bacterial SSU rRNA". It matches the Rfam family "Bacterial small subunit ribosomal RNA", at positions 576 to 1337 of the family's 1533-position model. The record is from RNAcentral.
UGGUUUGUCGCGUUGUUCGUGAAAUCUCACGGCUUAACUGUGAGCGUGCGGGCGAUACGGGCAGACUUGAGUACUGCAGGGGAGACUGGAAUUCCUGGUGUAGCGGUGGAAUGCGCAGAUAUCAGGAGGAACACCGGUGGCGAAGGCGGGUCUCUGGGCAGUAACUGACGCUGAGGAGCGAAAGCGUGGGGAGCGAACAGGAUUAGAUACCCUGGUAGUCCACGCCGUAAACGGUGGGUACUAGGUGUGGGUUUCCUUCCUUGGGAUCCGUGCCGUAGCUAACGCAUUAAGUACCCCGCCUGGGGAGUACGGCCGCAAGGCUAAAACUCAAAGAAAUUGACGGGGGCCCGCACAAGCGGCGGAGCAUGUGGAUUAAUUCGAUGCAACGCGAAGAACCUUACCUGGGUUUGACAUGCACAGGACGCCGGCAGAGAUGUCGGUUCCCUUGUGGCCUGUGUGCAGGUGGUGCAUGGCUGUCGUCAGCUCGUGUCGUGAGAUGUUGGGUUAAGUCCCGCAACGAGCGCAACCCUUGUCUCAUGUUGCCAGCGGGUAAUGCCGGGGACUCGUGAGAGACUGCCGGGGUCAACUCGGAGGAAGGUGGGGAUGACGUCAAGUCAUCAUGCCCCUUAUGUCCAGGGCUUCACACAUGCUACAAUGGCCGGUACAAAGGGCUGCGAUGCCGCGAGGUUAAGCGAAUCCUUUUAAAGCCGGUCUCAGUUCGGAUCGGGGUCUGCAACUCGACCCCGUGAAGUCGGAGUCGCUA